CCUACGGGUGGCAGCAGUGGGGGAUAUUGCACAAUGGGGGCAACCCUGAUGCAGCGACGCCGCGUGGGUGAAGAAGCGCCUCGGCGCGUAAAGCACUUUCAGCAGGGAAGAAAAUGACGGUACCUGUAGACACAGCCCCGGCUAAGUCCGUGCCAGCAGCCGCGGUAAUACGUCGGGGGCACGCCUUAUCCGGAUUUACUGGGUGUAAAGGGAGCGCAGGCGGCACGGCAAGCCGGAUGUGAAAGCCCGCGGCGCAACCGGGGGACUGCAUUUGGAACUACCAGGCUGGAGUGCCGUAGAGGUAGGCAGAAGUCCUGGUGUAGCGGGGAAAUGCGUAGAGAUUAGGAGGAAUACCAGUGGCGAAGGCGGCCUACUGGACGGUGACUGACGCUGAGGCGCGAAAGCGUGGGGAGCAAACAGGAUUAGAUACCCCUGUAGUC
Molecule: ribosomal RNA, 440 nt
Filed under: uncultured bacterium
Lineage: Bacteria
Description: partial 16S ribosomal RNA
Rfam family: Bacterial small subunit ribosomal RNA
Source: RNAcentral